UACGUAGGGACCGAGCGUUGUCCGGAUUUAUUGGGCGUAAAGAGCUCGUAGGCGGUUUGUUGCGUCGGCUGUGAAAUCCCGAGGCUCAACCUCGGGUCUGCAGUCGAUACGAGCAAACUAGAGUGUUGCAGGGGAGACUGGAAUUCCUGGUGUAGCGGUGAAAUGCGCAGAUAUUAGGAGGAACACCGGUGGCGAAGGCGCCACUCUGGGCCGAAACUGACGCUGAGGAGCGAAAGCGUGGGUAGCAAACAGG
Molecule: ribosomal RNA, 253 nt
Filed under: uncultured bacterium
Lineage: Bacteria
Description: partial 16S ribosomal RNA
Rfam family: Bacterial small subunit ribosomal RNA
Source: RNAcentral